Molecule: ribosomal RNA, 643 nt
Filed under: uncultured bacterium
Lineage: Bacteria
Description: bacterial SSU rRNA
Rfam family: Bacterial small subunit ribosomal RNA
Source: RNAcentral
CGCGGCCUAUCAGCUUGUUGGUGAGGUAAUGGCUCACCAAGGCGACGACGGGUAGCCGGCCUGAGAGGGUGACCGGCCACACUGGGACUGAGACACGGCCCAGACUCCUACGGGAGGCAGCAGUGGGGAAUAUUGCACAAUGGGCGAAAGCCUGAUGCAGCGACGCCGCGUGAGGGAUGACGGCCUUCGGGUUGUAAACCUCUUUCAGUAGGGAAGAAGCGAAAGUGACGGUACCUGCAGAAGAAGCACCGGCUAACUACGUGCCAGCAGCCGCGGUAAUACGUAGGGUGCGAGCGUUAUCCGGAAUUAUUGGGCGUAAAGAGCUCGUAGGCGGUUUGUCGCGUCUGUCGUGAAAGUCCGGGGCUUAACCCCGGAUCUGCGGUGGGUACGGGCAGACUAGGGUGCAGUAGGGGAGACUGGAAUUCCUGGUGUAGCGGUGGAAUGCGCAGAUAUCAGGAGGAACACCGAUGGCGAAGGCAGGUCUCUGGGCUGUAACUGACGCUGAGGAGCGAAAGCAUGGGGAGCGAACAGGAUUAGAUACCCUGGUAGUCCAUGCCGUAAACGUUGGGCACUAGGUGUGGGGACCAUUCCACGGUUUCCGCGCCGCAGCUAACGCAUUAAGUGCCCCGCCUGGGGAGUACGG